AGACAGACAUCACUCUUUAGAAUCCCUGCAACUUUGAGCAAGUUCGUGAAUCUCACUAAGGCUCAGUUUCCUCCAUAAAAUUAAUCAAUAUCAGGGCCUCUGCAUUGGACAACUCCAGAGGGCACCAUUGGGGUUAUACCUUGUGUUUGCCUAACCUUCAUUGCAGUGGGCAGGUGCAUGCUUUCUACAAUGUCCUAAGGUCUAAAGGGGUAGAGUUCUGUGUGUGGCAUUUUAGGCCUGGAAAGGAUGAGAGUCUACAAAACCAGAGAAAUACUGCAGAGAUCCCAGACCACCACCCAUGAUCCCAGGCUGGAGGAAGCAGCAGGCUAGCGGAAUUCAGGACCAAUGAGCCAGGAAAGAGGACCCAAUGCAGAGCUCACAUCCCACCCUCCUUCCCCCAUGACAAAGCACUGGCAAACCCUGCCAAAGAAGAAGCUUGGCUGCAAAGCAGUCUGGAACUGGACCCGGGAUAGAUUCACCAGGAGCUCACCACCACAGGGAAUGCUGCACUUUGACUGGACAGAAUGCAUCCUCCAUGCCCACAGAGCAUGUGCCCAGGAUGAAUCUCACUGUAUCCCAGUUCCUCAUGCUUGGCCCCAAACCUCUUUUUCACAGUAAUAAAGAAAACACACUUUACAAAAA
Molecule: long non-coding RNA, 642 nt
Organism: Homo sapiens (human)
Lineage: Eukaryota; Metazoa; Chordata; Mammalia; Primates; Hominidae
Gene: CASC22
Product: cancer susceptibility 22
Source: Ensembl